UUUUUAAUUGGGAUCUUGUAUGAAUGAUUGGACAAGAGAAAUACUGUCUUUGUAUUAAAACUUGAAUUUAACUUUUAAGUGAAAAGGCUUAAAUAUGCUAAAGGGACGAUAAGACCCUAUAAAACUUUACAUUUAUGUUAAAUUUUAUGGAAUUUGAAGAUUAUAAUUAUUAAAUUUAAUUUUUUGUUAUGUUGGGGAGACAAAAGCUAUAAUUAUAUGUAACUGCUUUUAAGGGAAACAAAAAUAAGUGAUAAAGAUUAGAGAUCCUUUAUUGAGAUUAUAAGAUUAAGUUACUUUAGGGAUAACAGCGUUAUUUUUUUUGAGAGUUCAUAUUGAAAAAAAAGAUUGCGACCUCGAUGUUGAAUUAAAAUAUCUUUAUAAUGCAGGUGUUAUAAAAGAAGGUCUGUUCGACCUUUAAUUUU
This 422-nucleotide ribosomal RNA is filed under the name Potamonautes sidneyi. RNAcentral's name for it is "partial large subunit ribosomal RNA". The stretch from base 301 to 422 matches the Rfam family "Bacterial large subunit ribosomal RNA", at positions 2473 to 2596 of the family's 2925-position model. Lineage: Eukaryota; Metazoa; Arthropoda; Malacostraca; Decapoda; Potamonautidae. The record is from RNAcentral.